GCGGGCAUAGUUUAGUGGUAAAACCGCAGCCUUCCAAGCUACUGAUCGGGGUUCGAUUCCCCGUGCCCGCU
RNAcentral lists this transfer RNA (71 nucleotides) under Synechococcus sp. PCC 6312. RNAcentral's name for it is "tRNA-Gly (TCC) (tRNA-Gly-TCC-1-1)". It matches the Rfam family "tRNA". Rfam says of the family: Transfer RNA (tRNA) molecules are approximately 80 nucleotides in length. Their secondary structure includes four short double-helical elements and three loops (D, anti-codon, and T loops). Further hydrogen bonds mediate the characteristic L-shaped molecular structure. tRNAs have two regions of fundamental functional importance: the anti-codon, which is responsible for specific mRNA codon recognition, and the 3' end, to which the tRNAs corresponding amino acid is attached (by aminoacyl-tRNA synthetases). tRNAs cope with the degeneracy of the genetic code in two manners: having more than one tRNA (with a specific anti-codon) for a particular amino acid; and 'wobble' base-pairing, i.e. permitting non-standard base-pairing at the 3rd anti-codon position. Lineage: Bacteria; Bacillati; Cyanobacteriota; Cyanophyceae; Synechococcales; Synechococcaceae. The record is from Rfam by way of RNAcentral. RNAcentral also lists the same sequence under 1 other name.